GGCGUUAAGAAACGUUUGGUGACCCCACAGUUUAAAUGUUUAUCGUAGGUACGUCGUGAACAGUGGUCAUUACAGACAAACGUUUCACGUAAUUGUCCCAGUCAAUGGAUGAAUUUAAUGUGUCAAUCAAUGGCCACAGCCACACUGUUUUGAAUUUCAUUCUAUAAGAACAUUUCUUUGUGAUUCAUAUUUUGUGCAGUGCAAGAUGAAAUGUUUUUCGUCUUCUAUAUUUUUAUUAUGACAUAAUUUGCACAACCUUUCUUCUCUGUUAACUUGCAUGUAUCUACCUCUUUCAAUUUCAAGAUUAUGUGCACUUAGCCUUAGUUUUGCCAAAGGUGCCCUAUUUUUCAACAUAUUCAACUGGUCAACAUAGUGUGCACGUUUAUUUGAAAAACAAAAAUGUCGAAAAAAUGAUAAUUUUGAUGAUUCUCUAAUAUAUGAAUUCUGUUCUUGUAAAAUUUGGUCACGAAUUCGUUGUUUUAUUCGAGCCAGCAUAGGUGUAAUAGGUACAUCAAAUGAAUACAAAAGGUAAAAUUGAUUUUAUUAAGAAAUAAUUUAGUUUUGGAUGUAACGCGUCUUCUAAUUGGCUGACGUUAUUUUGUUAUCAGCCCAUAGACAUAAUUUAGUCAUGUGACCGUGACUUCAUCAACGUUUUUUCAUGGUUUUCUACGGUUAGAAAUGGAAUUUAGAAUUAAAUUAUAAGAAAUGACUGUAAUAUUUUUUCUGUCUAUUCGAAAUAACAUAAAAAAUGUGGUGCACACUGUUAAAUAACCCGCUACGCGCGUUUUUCAGUGUGCACCAAAUUUUUUAUGUUAUUUUUUCAUAGACAGAAAAAAUGUUACAGUCAUUCCUUAAAUAAAAAGA
This 864-nucleotide long non-coding RNA is filed under the name Mytilus galloprovincialis (Mediterranean mussel). The record is from RNAcentral. Lineage: Eukaryota; Metazoa; Mollusca; Bivalvia; Mytilida; Mytilidae.